This 221-nucleotide long non-coding RNA is filed under the name Mytilus galloprovincialis (Mediterranean mussel). Lineage: Eukaryota; Metazoa; Mollusca; Bivalvia; Mytilida; Mytilidae. The record is from RNAcentral.
GUGGGGUUUGUGGUACUCCAUCCUGGUUAUGGUUUGAACUUUUAUUUACUGAUGUGCGUCCUAUCGACGUUUUUCGCUUGUCAGACCAAGGCUUUUUCAUACUCUUUAAUGUUUUGAGUUUAAUUAUAUGUUUGCGGUUUACCUUCACCUCUGUUUCUUUCUAUGUGUAUUUUGAUGAAUACUCUUUGACGCGGCUCGGUAUUUAUACAUCCCACCAGUUA